This 64-nucleotide ribosomal RNA is filed under the name Lactobacillus delbrueckii subsp. bulgaricus. RNAcentral describes it as "partial 16S ribosomal RNA". It matches the Rfam family "Bacterial small subunit ribosomal RNA", at positions 1 to 61 of the family's 1533-position model. Lineage: Bacteria; Bacillati; Bacillota; Bacilli; Lactobacillales; Lactobacillaceae. The record is from RNAcentral.
UUUCAAAUUGAGAGUUUGAUCCUGGCUCAGGACGAACGCUGGCGGCGUGCCUAAUACAUGCAAG